This 2906-nucleotide ribosomal RNA is filed under the name Escherichia coli. Its description in RNAcentral is "bacterial LSU rRNA". It matches the Rfam family "Bacterial large subunit ribosomal RNA". The record is from RNAcentral. Lineage: Bacteria; Pseudomonadati; Pseudomonadota; Gammaproteobacteria; Enterobacterales; Enterobacteriaceae. RNAcentral also lists the same sequence under 1 other name.
UUAAGCGACUAAGCGUACACGGUGGAUGCCCUGGCAGUCAGAGGCGAUGAAGGACGUGCUAAUCUGCGAUAAGCGUCGGUAAGGUGAUAUGAACCGUUAUAACCGGCGAUUUCCGAAUGGGGAAACCCAGUGUGUUUCGACACACUAUCAUUAACUGAAUCCAUAGGUUAAUGAGGCGAACCGGGGGAACUGAAACAUCUAAGUACCCCGAGGAAAAGAAAUCAACCGAGAUUCCCCCAGUAGCGGCGAGCGAACGGGGAGCAGCCCAGAGCCUGAAUCAGUGUGUGUGUUAGUGGAAGCGUCUGGAAAGGCGCGCGAUACAGGGUGACAGCCCCGUACACAAAAAUGCACAUGCUGUGAGCUCGAUGAGUAGGGCGGGACACGUGGUAUCCUGUCUGAAUAUGGGGGGACCAUCCUCCAAGGCUAAAUACUCCUGACUGACCGAUAGUGAACCAGUACCGUGAGGGAAAGGCGAAAAGAACCCCGGCGAGGGGAGUGAAAAAGAACCUGAAACCGUGUACGUACAAGCAGUGGGAGCACAGAGCAAUCUGUGUGACUGCGUACCUUUUGUAUAAUGGGUCAGCGACUUAUAUUCUGUAGCAAGGUUAACCGAAUAGGGGAGCCGAAGGGAAACCGAGUCUUAACUGGGCGUUAAGUUGCAGGGUAUAGACCCGAAACCCGGUGAUCUAGCCAUGGGCAGGUUGAAGGUUGGGUAACACUAACUGGAGGACCGAACCGACUAAUGUUGAAAAAUUAGCGGAUGACUUGUGGCUGGGGGUGAAAGGCCAAUCAAACCGGGAGAUAGCUGGUUCUCCCCGAAAGCUAUUUAGGUAGCGCCUCGUGAAUUCAUCUCCGGGGGUAGAGCACUGUUUCGGCAAGGGGGUCAUCCCGACUUACCAACCCGAUGCAAACUGCGAAUACCGGAGAAUGUUAUCACGGGAGACACACGGCGGGUGCUAACGUCCGUCGUGAAGAGGGAAACAACCCAGACCGCCAGCUAAGGUCCCAAAGUCAUGGUUAAGUGGGAAACGAUGUGGGAAGGCCCAGACAGCCAGGAUGUUGGCUUAGAAGCAGCCAUCAUUUAAAGAAAGCGUAAUAGCUCACUGGUCGAGUCGGCCUGCGCGGAAGAUGUAACGGGGCUAAACCAUGCACCGAAGCUGCGGCAGCGACGCUUAUGCGUUGUUGGGUAGGGGAGCGUUCUGUAAGCCUGCGAAGGUGUGCUGUGAGGCAUGCUGGAGGUAUCAGAAGUGCGAAUGCUGACAUAAGUAACGAUAAAGCGGGUGAAAAGCCCGCUCGCCGGAAGACCAAGGGUUCCUGUCCAACGUUAAUCGGGGCAGGGUGAGUCGACCCCUAAGGCGAGGCCGAAAGGCGUAGUCGAUGGGAAACAGGUUAAUAUUCCUGUACUUGGUGUUACUGCGAAGGGGGGACGGAGAAGGCUAUGUUGGCCGGGCGACGGUUGUCCCGGUUUAAGCGUGUAGGCUGGUUUUCCAGGCAAAUCCGGAAAACUAAGGCUGAGGCGUGAUGACGAGGCACUACGGUGCUGAAGCAACAAAUGCCCUGCUUCCAGGAAAAGCCUCUAAGCAUCAGGUAACAUCAAAUCGUACCCCAAACCGACACAGGUGGUCAGGUAGAGAAUACCAAGGCGCUUGAGAGAACUCGGGUGAAGGAACUAGGCAAAAUGGUGCCGUAACUUCGGGAGAAGGCACGCUGAUAUGUAGGUGAAGUCCCUCGCGGAUGGAGCUGAAAUCAGUCGAAGAUACCAGCUGGCUGCAACUGUUUAUUAAAAACACAGCACUGUGCAAACACGAAAGUGGACGUAUACGGUGUGACGCCUGCCCGGUGCCGGAAGGUUAAUUGAUGGGGUUAGCGGUAACGCGAAGCUCUUGAUCGAAGCCCCGGUAAACGGCGGCCGUAACUAUAACGGUCCUAAGGUAGCGAAAUUCCUUGUCGGGUAAGUUCCGACCUGCACGAAUGGCGUAAUGAUGGCCAGGCUGUCUCCACCCGAGACUCAGUGAAAUUGAACUCGCUGUGAAGAUGCAGUGUACCCGCGGCAAGACGGAAAGACCCCGUGAACCUUUACUAUAGCUUGACACUGAACAUUGAGCCUUGAUGUGUAGGAUAGGUGGGAGGCUUUGAAGUGUGGACGCCAGUCUGCAUGGAGCCGGCCUUGAAAUACCACCCUUUAAUGUUUGAUGUUCUAACGUUGGCCCCUGAUCGGGGUUGCGGACAGUGUCUGGUGGGUAGUUUGACUGGGGCGGUCUCCUCCUAAAGAGUAACGGAGGAGCACGAAGGUUGGCUAAUCCUGGUCGGACAUCAGGAGGUUAGUGCAAUGGCAUAAGCCAGCUUGACUGCGAGCGUGACGGCGCGAGCAGGUGCGAAAGCAGGUCAUAGUGAUCCGGUGGUUCUGAAUGGAAGGGCCAUCGCUCAACGGAUAAAAGGUACUCCGGGGAUAACAGGCUGAUACCGCCCAAGAGUUCAUAUCGACGGCGGUGUUUGGCACCUCGAUGUCGGCUCAUCACAUCCUGGGGCUGAAGUAGGUCCCAAGGGUAUGGCUGUUCGCCAUUUAAAGUGGUACGCGAGCUGGGUUUAGAACGUCGUGAGACAGUUCGGUCCCUAUCUGCCGUGGGCGCUGGAGAACUGAGGGGGGCUGCUCCUAGUACGAGAGGACCGGAGUGGACGCAUCACUGGUGUUCGGGUUGUCAUGCCAAUGGCACUGCCCGGUAGCUAAAUGCGGAAGAGAUAAGUGCUGAAAGCAUCUAAGCACGAAACUUGCCCCGAGAUGAGUUCUCCCUGACUCCUUGAGAGUCCUGAAGGAACGUUGAAGACGACGACGUUGAUAGGCCGGGUGUGUAAGCGCAGCGAUGCGUUGAGCUAACCGGUACUAAUGAACCGUGAGGCUUAACCUU